Molecule: ribosomal RNA, 456 nt
Filed under: uncultured bacterium
Lineage: Bacteria
Description: bacterial SSU rRNA
Rfam family: Bacterial small subunit ribosomal RNA
Source: RNAcentral
UACGGAAGGCAGCAGUGGGGAAUAUUGCACAAUGGGCGAAAGCCUGAUGCAGCUAUGCCGCGUGUAUGAAGAAGGCCUUAGGGUUGUAAAGUACUUUCAUCGGGGAGGAAAAACAAAACUAAUAAUUUUAUUUCUUGACGUUACCCGAAAAAGAAGCACCGGCUAACUCCGUGCCAGCAGCCGCGGUAAUACGGAGGGUGCUAGCGUUAAUCAGAAUUACUGGGCGUAAAGAGCACGUAGGUGGUUUUUUUAAGUCAGAUGUGAAAUCCCUGGGCUUAACCUGGAACUGCAUUUUGAAACUGAAAUACUAGAGUAUCGUAGAGGGAGGUAGAAUUCUAGGUGUAGCGGUGAAAUGCGUAGAUAUUUUGGAGGAAUACCUGUGGCGAAAGCGGCCUCCUAAACGAAUACUGACACUGAGGGUGCGAAAGCGUGGGGAGCAAACAGGGAUUAGAUACC